RNAcentral lists this long non-coding RNA (288 nucleotides) under Citrus sinensis (sweet orange). RNAcentral's name for it is "long non-coding RNA (CSIN_LNC002017)". Lineage: Eukaryota; Viridiplantae; Streptophyta; Magnoliopsida; Sapindales; Rutaceae. The record is from RNAcentral.
CCAAAAUAUACCAAAACAAAUACUUGCAUGAAAGAUCUCCUCCAAAUAAGCAACGGAUAAUUUGAAGAAGUCAGCUCCAGAUCAUCAUCUCAAACGUUGCAUGGCUAAUGACGUGCCCAUGCAUAUUCCUAGCAACGGAUAAUUUGAAGAAGUCAACUCCAAAUCAUCAUCUCAAAGGUUGCAUGGCUAAUGACGUGCCCAUGCAUAUUCCUAGCAACGGAUAAUUUGAAGAAGUCAACUCCAAAUCAUCAUCUCAAAGGUUGCAUGGCUAAUGACGUGCCCAUGCAU